GAGCUACAAGACAGGAAAACAACAGUAAGUGAAAUACAAUGCUCAAUUCAACCAGUCUGGCAUCAUAUCACAAAUCAGUGACAUAAUAUAAUCAAAGAGAUUCAAAGCAAGAUGAAUGUGUUCAAUAAGUUCAAAGGAUCAAAUAACAGUUCAUUUACAUACAUGAAAAAUCAUCAAGGAAACAACAGAUGAAACAUACAACAUAAACAAACAAAUACAUAAAUGAUAAGAAUCCAAGUAACUAGAAGCUAUUAAACAAAUGCAAAAUACACUUCCAACUGUGAAACACAAAGAAAGGCCUAGAUGACAUAGUUAUUAAAGGCUCAAGG
Molecule: unclassified non-coding RNA, 329 nt
Filed under: Hevea brasiliensis (rubber tree)
Lineage: Eukaryota; Viridiplantae; Streptophyta; Magnoliopsida; Malpighiales; Euphorbiaceae
Source: RNAcentral